CUCACUAACUUUGCACGAAAUGAAGAGGAGCGAAGCGCUUAAUAUCGGUAUUUGCCGAGCUGUGAGAACAUCUAAAUUUUUGAAUGGAUGAAAACAUCUUACAACAUGCACAGGCUGUCCUGAGAGACUAUUAAAGGAGGAUUGUAAGAGAGGAAUAUGCCAACAAGAACUGCAAUGAGGAGUCGUUGACAGGAGGAAACUUUUUAAAAGAGACCACACACUACCUCAUCAACAUGCUUGAAGAUGAUCUGAGCCUGAAGAGGGACAAAGGGCCUAGUGAUAGACUACCUUUCUGCAAGUAUUGACAAUUCUGCUUUUGUAUGGUGAUAAUUUCAGGGAAUACGUGGUGAUGAGGCAUCAGUGUUGCAAUUAUCUGUUUGUGAGUGAUCAAAGAUGUUUCGCAAGCCAUAGCAAGAAAAAAGAGGUUUUGUGAGAACUUCAACAACCAGAGAUGAGAUUGAGACUACCCAACAACAACUGUGUGAGUGAUCGAUGGGACCCAUGUCUAUACAAGAAUUCCUGGAGGGAAACAAGCCUUGUACUUUCCUGAAGGGCAAGUCCACCCCAACAAAAAGUUUCUUUGAUAUAAUACAGAAAAGUCCAAUGAGCAUAACACUAAACAUUUCAUCAAAAUUUGAUGUAAAAUGAGAAAGUGUUGACAUUUUGAAGUUUCGCUUAUUUUCACAAAACAGACAUCCUGGUCAGUAUGCAAAUGAGUGACAAAGUGACGUUCUCCACUCAGUGUUUCUUUUUGUAAUAUACUAGUAUCAUGAUUUUUUCCCCUCAUAAUGUGUAUAAAGUACAGGUGAGAUAUGGUUUGAUUUCUCCCUGAAACUUUUGUAAAAAGCCAUUGUGGCAACCUAUACUCAAUUCGAUGAAGAGUUUUCUCAUAAUUGU
This is a long non-coding RNA of Lytechinus variegatus (green sea urchin), 897 nucleotides long. RefSeq lists it as uncharacterized. The transcript is spliced from 4 exons. NCBI's taxonomy places the organism in Eukaryota, Metazoa, Echinodermata, Echinoidea, Temnopleuroida, Toxopneustidae. The record is from RefSeq and is a predicted model, not a curated record.